RNAcentral lists this ribosomal RNA (253 nucleotides) under uncultured bacterium. RNAcentral's name for it is "partial 16S ribosomal RNA". It matches the Rfam family "Bacterial small subunit ribosomal RNA", at positions 524 to 776 of the family's 1533-position model. The record is from RNAcentral.
UACGGAGGGGGCUAGCGUUGUUCGGAAUUCCUGGGCGUAAAGCGCGCGUAGGCGAACCUGCACGUCGGGGGUGAAAGCCCGAGGCUCAACCUCGGAACUGCCUUCGAUACUGCGGGUCUCGAGUCCGGGAGAGGUGAGUGGAAUUCCUAGUGUAGAGGUGAAAUUCGUAGAUAUUAGGAAGAACACCAGUGGCGAAGGCGGCUCACUGGCCCGGUACUGACGCUGAGGCGCGAAAGCGUGGGGAGCAAACAGG